RNAcentral lists this ribosomal RNA (275 nucleotides) under uncultured bacterium. Its description in RNAcentral is "partial 16S ribosomal RNA". It matches the Rfam family "Bacterial small subunit ribosomal RNA", at positions 338 to 605 of the family's 1533-position model. The record is from RNAcentral.
CCUACGGGUGGCUGCAGUGGGGAAUAUUGCACAAUGGGCGCAAGCCUGAUGCAGCCAUGCCGCGUGUAUGAAGAAGGCCUUCGGGUUGUAAAGUACUUUCAGCGGGGAGGAAGGCGAUGCGGUUAAUAACCGUGUCGAUUGACGUUACCCGCAGAAGAAGCACCGGCUAACUCCGUGCCAGCAGCCGCGGUAAUACGGAGGGUGCAAGCGUUAAUCGGAAUUACUGGGCGUAAAGCGCACGCAGGCGGUCUGUCAAGUCGGAUGUGAAAUCCCCG